This 301-nucleotide ribosomal RNA is filed under the name uncultured bacterium. RNAcentral's name for it is "partial 16S ribosomal RNA". It matches the Rfam family "Bacterial small subunit ribosomal RNA", at positions 509 to 807 of the family's 1533-position model. The record is from RNAcentral.
CAGUAGCCGCGGGAAUACAGAGGGUGCAAGCGUUAAUCGGAAUUACUUGGCGUAAAGCGCGCGUAGGUGGUUUGUUAAGUUGGAUGUGAAAUCCCCGGGCUCAACCUGGGAACUGCAUCCAAAACUGGCAAGCUAGAGUAUGGUAGAGGGUGGUGGAAUUUCCUGUGUAGCGGUGAAAUGCGUAGAUAUAGGAAGGAACACCAGUGGCGAAGGCGACCACCUGGACUGAUACUGACACUGAGGUGCGAAAGCGUGGGGAGCAAACAGGAUUAGAUACCCCCGUAGUCCCUGUCUCUUAUAC